This 306-nucleotide ribosomal RNA is filed under the name Triticum aestivum (bread wheat). RNAcentral describes it as "partial small subunit ribosomal RNA". The record is from RNAcentral. Lineage: Eukaryota; Viridiplantae; Streptophyta; Magnoliopsida; Poales; Poaceae.
AUGGCUAUGUGGCUCAUGAAUAAAACAUUCAUUGAAAAGCUGGAUAAACAUAGACGUAGAUUUUUCUGGCAAGGUUGUAAUAAGAAAAAGAGAUAUCACCUUGUCAAGCGGAAUAGGAUCUGUAGAUCCAGAGACAAAGGGGGCCUGGGGGUUAAGGACCUUAGAAAGCAAAAUAUUAACUUAAUGGUGAAAUGGUGGUGGAAAUUGGAGACCCAAAGUGGGUUAUGGCAGGAUAUUGUGCGUGCUAGAUACCUUAGAAACAAAACUGUUGCUGAGGUUAGUGCCAGAUUUUCUGAUUCACCGUGA